RNAcentral lists this unclassified non-coding RNA (398 nucleotides) under uncultured Planctomycetia bacterium. RNAcentral describes it as "contains 16S-23S intergenic spacer region". The record is from RNAcentral. Lineage: Bacteria; Pseudomonadati; Planctomycetota; Planctomycetia.
UCCGGCUUGACGCCGGCAGUCUCCCUAGAGUCCCCGCCUUGACGCGCUGGCAACUAGGGACAGGGGUUUCGCUCGUUAUGGGACUUAACCCGACAUCUCACGACACGAGCUGACGACAGCCAUGCAGCACCUGUGGCAGGUUCCGGGCUGGUUACCGUUGGGGCGUCGUUUCCGCGCCCUACUUCCUGCCGCUUUCGCACAUGUCAAGCCCGGGAUAAGGUUCUUCGCGUAGCCUCGAAUUAAGCCACAUGCUCCACCGCUUGUGUGAGCCCCCGUCAAUUCCUUUGAGUUUCAGCCUUGCGGCCAUACUCCCCAGGCGGGGUACUUAGCACUUUGGCCUCGGCCGCGAGCCCAUGUCAGCCCGCGGCCUGGUACCCAUCGUUUAGGGCCAGGACUAC